RNAcentral lists this ribosomal RNA (253 nucleotides) under uncultured bacterium. RNAcentral describes it as "partial 16S ribosomal RNA". It matches the Rfam family "Bacterial small subunit ribosomal RNA", at positions 524 to 776 of the family's 1533-position model. The record is from RNAcentral.
UACAGAGGUCUCAAGCGUUGUUCGGAUUCAUUGGGCGUAAAGAGCUCGUAGGCGGUUUGUUGCGUCGGCUGUGAAAUCCCGAGGCUCAACCUCGGGUCUGCAGUCGAUACGAGCAAACUAGAGUGUUGCAGGGGAGACUGGAAUUCCUGGUGUAGCGGUGAAAUGCGCAGAUAUCAGGAAGAACACCGAUGGCGAAGGCAGAUCUCUGGGCCGUAACUGACGCUGAGGAGCGAAAGCAUGGGGAGCGAACAGG